GAUGAACGCUGGCGGCGUGCCUAAUACAUGCAAGUCGAGCGAACAGACGAGGAGCUUGCUCCUCUGACGUUAGCGGCGGACGGGUGAGUAACACGUGGAUAACCUACCUAUAAGACUGGGAUAACUUCGGGAAACCGGAGCUAAUACCGGAUAAUAUAUUGAACCGCAUGGUUCAAUAGUGAAAGACGGUUUUGCUGUCACUUAUAGAUGGAUCCGCGCCGCAUUAGCUAGUUGGUAAGGUAACGGCUUACCAAGGCAACGAUGCGUAGCCGACCUGAGAGGGUGAUCGGCCACACUGGAACUUAGACACGGUCCAGACCCCUACGGGAGGCAGCAGUAGGGAAUCUUCCGCAAUGGGCGAAAGCCUGACGGAGCAACGCCGCGUGAGUGAUGAAGGUCUUCGGAUCGUAAAACUCUGUUAUUAGGGAAGAACAAAUGUGUAAGUAACUAUGCACGUCUUGACGGUACCUAAUCAGAAAGCCACGGCUAACUACGUG
RNAcentral lists this ribosomal RNA (497 nucleotides) under uncultured bacterium. Its description in RNAcentral is "partial 16S ribosomal RNA". It matches the Rfam family "Bacterial small subunit ribosomal RNA", at positions 28 to 507 of the family's 1533-position model. The record is from RNAcentral.